RNAcentral lists this ribosomal RNA (499 nucleotides) under uncultured bacterium. Its description in RNAcentral is "partial 16S ribosomal RNA". It matches the Rfam family "Bacterial small subunit ribosomal RNA", at positions 27 to 507 of the family's 1533-position model. The record is from RNAcentral.
GGACGAACGCUGGCGGCGUGCCUAAUCCAUGCAAGUCGAACGAGAGCGACCGGUGCUUGCCCUGGUCAAUCUAGUGGCGAACGGGUGAGUAACACGUGGGUAACCUGCCCAUCAGAGGGGGAUAACAUCCGGAAACGGAUGCUAAAACCGCAUAGGUCUUCGAACCGCAUGGUUUGAAGAGGAAAAGAGGCGCAAGCUUCUGCUGAUGGAUGGACCCGCGGUGCAUUAGCUAGUUGGUGAGGUAACGGCUCACCAAGGCCGUGAUGCAUAGCCGACCUGAGAGGGUGAUCGGCCACAUUGGGACUGAGACACGGCCCAAACUCCUACGGGAGGCAGCAGUAGGGAAUCUUCCGCAAUGGACGCAAGUCUGACGGAGCAACGCCGCGUGAGUGAAGAAGGUUUUCGGAUCGUAAAACUCUGUUGUUAGAGAAGAACAAGUGCUAGAGUAACUGUUGGCGCCUUGACGGUAUCUAACCAGAAAGCCACGGCUAACUACGUG